RNAcentral lists this ribosomal RNA (425 nucleotides) under uncultured bacterium. Its description in RNAcentral is "bacterial SSU rRNA". It matches the Rfam family "Bacterial small subunit ribosomal RNA", at positions 354 to 796 of the family's 1533-position model. The record is from RNAcentral.
GUGGGGAAUCUUGCACAAUGGGGGAAACCCUGAUGCAGCGACGCCGCGUGAGCGAUGAAGCCCUUCGGGGUGUAAAGCUCUUUCGACGGGAACGAUAAUGACGGUACCCGGAGAAGAAGCUGCGGCUAACUACGUGCCAGCAGCCGCGGUAAUACGUAGGCAGCAAGCGUUGUUCGGAAUUACUGGGCGUAAAGCGUGCGUAGGCGGCGCUACAAGUUUGGUGUGAAAUCUCCCGGCUUAACUGGGAGGGUGCGCCGAAAACUGUGGUGCUAGAGUGUGGGAGAGGUAAGCGGAAUUCCUGGUGUAGCGGUGAAAUGCGUAGAUAUCAGGAGGAACACCGGCGGUGUAGACGGCUUACUGGACCAUGACUGACGCUGAGGCACGAAAGUGUGGGGAGCAAACAGGAUUAGAAACCCUGGUAGUCC